Molecule: ribosomal RNA, 253 nt
Filed under: uncultured Methylococcaceae bacterium
Lineage: Bacteria; Pseudomonadati; Pseudomonadota; Gammaproteobacteria; Methylococcales; Methylococcaceae
Description: partial 16S ribosomal RNA
Rfam family: Bacterial small subunit ribosomal RNA
Source: RNAcentral
UACGGAGGGUGCGAGCGUUAAUCGGAAUUACUGGGCGUAAAGAGUGCGUAGGCGGUUAUUUAAGUCAGAUGUGAAAGCCCCGGGCUCAACCUGGGAACGGCAUUUGAUACUGGGUAACUAGAGUUUGGGAGAGGUAAGUGGAAUUUCAGGUGUAGCGGUGAAAUGCGUAGAGAUCUGAAGGAACACCAGUGGCGAAGGCGACUUACUGGCCUAAAACUGACGCUGAGGCACGAAAGCAUGGGUAGCAAACAGG